This is a long non-coding RNA of Etheostoma spectabile (orangethroat darter), 109 nucleotides long. RefSeq lists it as uncharacterized. The record is from RefSeq and is a predicted model, not a curated record. The transcript has 3 exons. Lineage: Eukaryota; Metazoa; Chordata; Actinopteri; Perciformes; Percidae.
GAUAUGUCACUACAUAACGUUCCCGUGGCAACAGGGGAAAAUGGCUGCUUCUUGUGUAAAGUAAACACUUUUUGAACUUUCUGCUAAGAUACAUUAGGGAACUUUUUUG